This is a long non-coding RNA of Oreochromis aureus, 884 nucleotides long. NCBI's taxonomy places the organism in Eukaryota, Metazoa, Chordata, Actinopteri, Cichliformes, Cichlidae. The record is from Ensembl.
GUUCCUAAACAACCAAAUAUCACGUCAAUAUCACAUAUCAUGUCCUUAGAAAAUGCAGUUUUUUACAGUUUCUUCACACACUGAACGUGACGAUAGUAUUCAGAUCAAAGUAUCCCGCUUUUUGUUUUUUAAUCAAAACUCUGGUUUUAGUGGCCUAUCAGUAAAAUUUUAAAGCUGGCACAUAAUUUGAAAUCGGAACUUUCAACAACAACGGAAUUGAAAUGGAGACUCAGCAUUGCUACAGCUUGUUGCUAUUUAAGUGUGCUGUAGCAAAAGGAUUUAAUCAGGUGUGUCCUUAAAUAUUGCCUAUUAGUGUUUCCUCUUAUAUUAAGAUCUGAAUGUUUUCUAAGAAUUACAAUUUCCCAGCAGUUACGCAAAUGAGAUUAAAUCAUCACUUGCAACUGUGUAUAAAAAGCUCCGCUGUCAGUACUGCAUUAUCACAAUCAUCCACAUCUCUGAGACAGUCUGCUGAAGUUGUGAAGACCUGAUGGUAACAUUUCUCAUCAAUCUUUUAUUGCUUCUGUGUUUUCAGUGUAAUGUUGGUGGAAUGGUUAUUUUGCUGAUGGUUUUGACCACAUCUCAUCAGAAUUAUUGUUAACAGGUGAAAUAACUGAAACCAUGAUCAAGGUUGUGUUUCUGCUUGGAUGCCUGCUGAGCCUUGCUCUGGCAAAUCCUAAUGACUCAGCACACGAGCGCGAUGCACGUUCUUCAUCUGGGUAGGGGACUAUUGGGACCCUAAAUCGUCUUACCCUGCUUUUACCUCUUCUACAGAAUCCAACACUUCUGCAGAAUUCAACACUCCUUGCAGCUAUUCUUGCUGCUAUACGAUAAGCUGCUUCUUAACCAACAGCUAUUACACCACAAAGGAUGAAUUGAAAAUGAAC